RNAcentral lists this ribosomal RNA (452 nucleotides) under Globigerina bulloides. RNAcentral describes it as "bacterial SSU rRNA". It matches the Rfam family "Eukaryotic small subunit ribosomal RNA", at positions 1179 to 1451 of the family's 1831-position model. Lineage: Eukaryota; Foraminifera; Rotaliida; Globigerinidae. The record is from RNAcentral.
GAGUAUGUGGUUUAAUUUGACUCAACGCGGAAAAGCUUAUCUGGUCCGGACGCAGUGAGGAUUGACAGACAGUUUCAGGAGUGGUUCUUGGUAAACAAUUGAGAGAGUUGAAGUUCUUUCAUGAUCUUGUGAGAGGUGGUGCAUGGCCGUUCUUAGUUCGUGUAGUGAUAUGUCUGCCUAAUCGCGUCACGAUAACCUAUUGGUCGACAACCCAAUUAUCACAACUGCAGCAUAACUCCCCUUGGGUGGGCGAGGCUCUGUGUAGGAUAGACCUCUGAACAGUACGCAACGAACGCGAUCGUAAUCCCUUGUUGAGUGGCCAUCCUGUAAGCUGCUGGAUUAGGAACCCAGUGGUAUUAUCUCAGCCACAGAUUUUCUGGUUGUAAUGGGCCAGUUUUGAAACUCGGGGAACAUCUGUGACUUUCUUUCUUAACGCAGAGGAAGGUUAUGGC